AACGUGUCGCGAUGGAUGACUUGGCUUCCUAUUUCGUUGA
RNAcentral lists this ribosomal RNA (40 nucleotides) under Trypanosoma evansi. Its description in RNAcentral is "partial 5.8S ribosomal RNA". Lineage: Eukaryota; Euglenozoa; Kinetoplastea; Trypanosomatida; Trypanosomatidae. The record is from RNAcentral.